RNAcentral lists this ribosomal RNA (531 nucleotides) under Pseudomonas cedrina subsp. cedrina. Its description in RNAcentral is "bacterial SSU rRNA". It matches the Rfam family "Bacterial small subunit ribosomal RNA", at positions 66 to 591 of the family's 1533-position model. The record is from RNAcentral. Lineage: Bacteria; Pseudomonadati; Pseudomonadota; Gammaproteobacteria; Pseudomonadales; Pseudomonadaceae.
GCGGUAGAGAGAAGCUUGCUUUCUCUUGAGAGCGGCGGACGGGUGAGUAAUGCCUAGGAAUCUGCCUGGUAGUGGGGGAUAACGUUCGGAAACGGACGCUAAUACCGCAUACGUCCUACGGGAGAAAGCAGGGGACCUUCGGGCCUUGCGCUAUCAGAUGAGCCUAGGUCGGAUUAGCUAGUUGGUGAGGUAAUGGCUCACCAAGGCGACGAUCCGUAACUGGUCUGAGAGGAUGAUCAGUCACACUGGAACUGAGACACGGUCCAGACUCCUACGGGAGGCAGCAGUGGGGAAUAUUGGACAAUGGGCGAAAGCCUGAUCCAGCCAUGCCGCGUGUGUGAAGAAGGUCUUCGGAUUGUAAAGCACUUUAAGUUGGGAGGAAGGGUUGUAGAUUAAUACUCUGCAAUUUUGACGUUACCGACACAAUAACCACCGGCUAACUCUGUGCCAACAGCCGCGGUAAUACAGAGGGUGCAAUCGUUAUUCAGAAUUACUGGGAAUUAAGCGCGCGUAGGUGGCUUGUUCAGUUUC